AAUUAGAUAAGCUAAUAAAGCUAUUAGGUUCAUACCCUGCCAAUAGAAGUAAAAUCUUCUUCUAAUUA
RNAcentral lists this transfer RNA (68 nucleotides) under Neuroctenus hainanensis. Its description in RNAcentral is "tRNA-Met". RNAcentral also lists the same sequence under 2 other names. The record is from RNAcentral. Lineage: Eukaryota; Metazoa; Arthropoda; Insecta; Hemiptera; Aradidae.